Molecule: microRNA precursor, 207 nt
Filed under: Oryza barthii
Lineage: Eukaryota; Viridiplantae; Streptophyta; Magnoliopsida; Poales; Poaceae
Description: MIR812 microRNA precursor family
Rfam family: MIR812 microRNA precursor family
Source: Rfam by way of RNAcentral
AAUAAGUGUAGUUUUGCACUAUUCACAUUCAACAUUUGACCGUUCGUCUUAUUUGAAAAUUUUUUAUGAUUAAUAUUUUUAUUACUAUUAGAUGAUAAAACAUUAAUAGUACUUUAUGUAUGACUAUUUUUUAAAUUUUUUUUAUAAUUUUUUUAAAUAAGACGAACGGUCAAACGUUAGACACGGAUAUUCACGGCUGCACUUAUU